ACACGGGGGGCGCAAGCGUUAUUCGGAAUUAUUGGGCGUAAAGGGCGUGUAGGCGGUUUUAUCGGUCAGAUGUGAGAGCCCAGGGCUCAACCCUGGACGUGCAUUUGAAACAGUAAGACUUGAGUACGGUAGAGGAAAGCGGAAUUCCUGGUGUAGAGGUGAAAUUCGUAGAUAUCAGGAGGAACACCGAUGGCGAAGGCAGCUUUCUGGACCGUAACUGACGCUGAUGCGCGAAGGCGUGGGUAGCGAACAGGAUUAGAAACCCUAGUAGUCC
RNAcentral lists this ribosomal RNA (274 nucleotides) under uncultured bacterium. RNAcentral describes it as "partial 16S ribosomal RNA". It matches the Rfam family "Bacterial small subunit ribosomal RNA", at positions 523 to 796 of the family's 1533-position model. The record is from RNAcentral.